This 100-nucleotide non-coding RNA is filed under the name Niallia circulans. RNAcentral's name for it is "Bacillus circulans TPP sequence". It matches the Rfam family "TPP riboswitch aptamer (THI element)". Rfam says of the family: Vitamin B(1) in its active form thiamin pyrophosphate (TPP) is an essential coenzyme that is synthesised by coupling of pyrimidine and thiazole moieties in bacteria. The record is from Rfam by way of RNAcentral. Lineage: Bacteria; Bacillati; Bacillota; Bacilli; Caryophanales; Bacillaceae.
AAAAUCCACUAGGGGAGCCUUUUUGGCUGAGACAAGAUUAUUUGGACCCUUUGAACCUGAUCUAGUUCAUACUAGCGUAGGAAAGUGGAGUCGGCCCAUU